This 327-nucleotide ribosomal RNA is filed under the name Vibrio cyclitrophicus. RNAcentral describes it as "bacterial SSU rRNA". It matches the Rfam family "Bacterial small subunit ribosomal RNA", at positions 1219 to 1533 of the family's 1533-position model. The record is from RNAcentral. Lineage: Bacteria; Pseudomonadati; Pseudomonadota; Gammaproteobacteria; Vibrionales; Vibrionaceae.
CACGUGCUACAAUGGCGCAUACAGAGGGCAGCAAGCUAGCGAUAGUGAGCGAAUCCCAAAAAGUGCGUCGUAGUCCGGAUUGGAGUCUGCAACUCGACUCCAUGAAGUCGGAAUCGCUAGUAAUCGUGAAUCAGAAUGUCACGGUGAAUACGUUCCCGGGCCUUGUACACACCGCCCGUCACACCAUGGGAGUGGGCUGCAAAAGAAGUGGGUAGUUUAACCUUUCGGGGAGGACGCUCACCACUUUGUGGUUCAUGACUGGGGUGAAGUCGUAACAAGGUAGCCCUAGGGAACCUGGGGCUGGAUCACCUCCUUAUACGAAGAUAC